GAUGAAGAACGCAGCGAAAUGCGAUAAGUAGUGUGAAUUGCAGACUUUAGUGAAUCAUCGAAUCUUUGAACGCACAUUGCGCCCCCUGGUAUUCCGGGGGGCAUGCCUGUUCGAGCGUCAUUUCACCACUCAAGCCUCGCUUGGUAUUGGGCAACGCGGUCCGCCGCGUGCCUCAAAUCGACCGGCUGGGUCUUCUGUCCCCUAAGCGUUGUGGAAACUAUUCGCUAAAGGGUGUUCGGGAGGCUACGCCGUAAAACAACCCCAUUUCUAAGGUUGACCUCGGAUCAGGUAGGGAUACCCGCUGAACUUAAGCAUAUCAAUAAGCGGAGGA
Molecule: unclassified non-coding RNA, 331 nt
Filed under: soil metagenome
Description: partial contains 5.8S ribosomal RNA, internal transcribed spacer 2, and large subunit ribosomal RNA
Rfam family: 5.8S ribosomal RNA (bases 1-120)
Source: RNAcentral